Molecule: transfer RNA, 77 nt
Filed under: Methyloceanibacter stevinii
Lineage: Bacteria; Pseudomonadati; Pseudomonadota; Alphaproteobacteria; Hyphomicrobiales; Hyphomicrobiaceae
Description: tRNA-Pro
Rfam family: tRNA
About the family: Transfer RNA (tRNA) molecules are approximately 80 nucleotides in length. Their secondary structure includes four short double-helical elements and three loops (D, anti-codon, and T loops).
Source: RNAcentral
CGGAGCGUAGCGCAGCCCGGUUAGCGCACCGGUCUGGGGGACCGGGGGUCGGGAGUUCAAAUCUCCCGCUCCGACCA